CCUACGGGGGACAGCAGUGAGGAAUAUUGGUCAAUGGACGAGAGUCUGAACCAGCCAAGUAGCGUGAAGGAUGACUGCCCUAUGGGUUGUAAACUUCUUUUAUAUGGGAAUAAAACGUUCCACGUGUGGGAUUUUGUAUGUACCAUAUGAAUAAGGAUCGGCUAACUCCGUGCCAGCAGCCGCGGUAAUACGGAGGAUCCGAGCGUUAUCCGGAUUUAUUGGGUUUAAAGGGAGCGUAGGUGGAUUGUUAAGUCAGUUGUGAAAGUUUGCGGCUUAACCGUAAAAUUGCAGUUGAAACUGGCAGUCUUGAGUACAGUAGAGGUGGGCGGAAUUCGUGGUGUAGCGGUGAAAUGCUUAGAUAUCACGAAGAACUCCGAUUGCGAAGGCAGUUCACUGGACUGCAACUGACACUGAGGCUCGAAAGUGUGGGUAUCAAACAGGAUUAGAUACCCUGGUAGUC
Molecule: ribosomal RNA, 460 nt
Filed under: uncultured bacterium
Lineage: Bacteria
Description: partial 16S ribosomal RNA
Rfam family: Bacterial small subunit ribosomal RNA
Source: RNAcentral